UUUGUGAAAUUUUUCGUAAACAUUUUUUGCUUGUUGAGAUUAAAAACUCACAAGGGAGUCACAGUGAUUAUAACUGAGUUGAUAUGGAUAUAGAUUGUUAUACACAGGGUUUGAACUCUGGAUACCUCUUUUGUUCAUCUUGUAAAAUGUGAAUUUUAGCUAUUACCAAAACCCUCGUUUUGCUUUUAACUCUCAUUCGUAGCUCAAGCACUCCAAUUCUCACUGAAGUGAACUCAAAUCCGACCAACACACACUGCCUGCUUUUGAGUUUUUCUUUCCCCUCUCAAAGGAGGAUAUGAGUCAGAAUUUGAAAAGUCCUAAUCCGGACGAUAAAGAAACAAGGUUAGAAAGGCGAUGGAAGAGACGGGAAGCGAUGAAUGAUAGUUUGAAGCACAAUCAUGUUGCUAGUGCCACAAAGACACCUGCGGAGAUUUGUGAAAAUACCACAAUUUUAAUAGACGAAAGUGAUCAUACGAUAGAUGAUGAUACAAAUGAAGAUUGUGAAAUACUUUUGGGUGAAUGUACCGGUGUCAACGAUGAAGUGGAGGCAGAUUACAAAUCCUUGUUGGCUAAAUAUAGUCCUGUUAUUGAAACUGAUAGUGCUAGUAAUCAUAUUGAUGGUUCAGACAUUGUUGAAGUCGAGGCAGAUUACGGAUCCUUGUUGGCUAAAUAUAAUCCUAUUAUUGACAGACAGUUCUGGUAAUCAUAUUGAUGGUUCAAACACUGAUGAAGUAGAGGCAGAUUACGGAUCCUUGUUGGCUAAAUAUAAUCUUAUUAUUGACACUGACAGUGCUAGUAAUCAUAUUGAUGGUUCGAAAAUUGAUGAAGUGGAUGCAGAUGCAGAUUACAGAUCCUUUUUGCGAAAGGAGUAGAUGUUGUCAAUUGACUGAAGCUUUGGUGAAAGGAGUUUAAAGUAAAUACUCAAGGGGUUUGAUUGUUGAGCAUGUUACAUUUAUGAUUUUAGGUUUCUGGUGUGAAGAAUAAAAAUCAACAAUCUUGUUUUACCUUAUUAUUUGCUUUGCUUAUGUAUUAGAGAAUCCAUGUAUUUUGUAUUAUGGGACCAAAAGAUCAAUGAAAAUUUUGUAUGAUAUCAACAAA
Molecule: RNA transcript, 1098 nt
Organism: Medicago truncatula (barrel medic)
Lineage: Eukaryota; Viridiplantae; Streptophyta; Magnoliopsida; Fabales; Fabaceae
Exons: 2
Source: RefSeq, a predicted model, not a curated record